This 253-nucleotide ribosomal RNA is filed under the name uncultured bacterium. Its description in RNAcentral is "partial 16S ribosomal RNA". It matches the Rfam family "Bacterial small subunit ribosomal RNA", at positions 524 to 776 of the family's 1533-position model. The record is from RNAcentral.
UACAGAGGGUGCGAGCGUUACUCGGAAUUACUGGGCGUAAAGCGCGCGUAGGCGGCUUUGCAAGUCGGGUGUGAAAUCCCCAGGCUUAACCUGGGAGCUGCAUUCGAGACUGCAUUGCUAGAGUAUGGGAGAGGGAAGUGGAAUUUCCGGUGUAGCGGUGAAAUGCGUAGAUAUCGGAAGGAACAUCAGUGGCGAAAGCGACUUCCUGGACCAAUACUGACGCUCAUGUGCGAAAGCGUGGGGAGCAAACAGG